Molecule: ribosomal RNA, 497 nt
Filed under: uncultured bacterium
Lineage: Bacteria
Description: partial 16S ribosomal RNA
Rfam family: Bacterial small subunit ribosomal RNA
Source: RNAcentral
GAUGAACGCUGGCGGCGUGCCUAAUACAUGCAAGUCGAGCGAACGGACGAGAAGCUUGCUUCCCUGCUGUUAGCGGCGGACGGGUGAGUAACACGUGGAUAACCUACCUAUAAGACUGGGAUAACUUCGGGAAACCGGAGCUAAUACCGGAUAAUAUUUUGAACCGCAUGGUUCAAAAGUGAUAGACGGUCUUGCUGUCACUUAUAGAUGGAUCCGCGCUGCAUUAGCUAGUUGGUAAGGUAACGGCUUACCAAGGCAACGAUGCAUAGCCGACCUGAGAGGGUGAUCAGCCACACUGGAACUGAGACACGGUCCAGACUCCUACGGGAGGCAGCAGUGGGGAAUCUUCGGUAAUGGGCGAAAGCCUGACGCAGCAACGCCGCGUGAGUGAUGAAGGUCUUCGGAUCGUAAAACUCUGUUAUUAGGGAAGAACAGAUGUGUAAUUAACUGUGGAUAUCUUGACGGUACCUAAUCAGAAAGCCACGGCUAACUACGUG